Molecule: ribosomal RNA, 253 nt
Filed under: uncultured bacterium
Lineage: Bacteria
Description: partial 16S ribosomal RNA
Rfam family: Bacterial small subunit ribosomal RNA
Source: RNAcentral
UACGAAGGGGGCUAGCGUUGCUCGGAAUCACUGGGCGUAAAGGGCGCGUAGGCGGAUAGUACAGUCAGGCGUGAAAUUCCUGGGCUCAACCUGGGGGCUGCGUUUGAUACGUGUUGUCUGGAGUUCGGAAGAGGGUCGUGGAAUUCCCAGUGUAGAGGUGAAAUUCGUAGAUAUUGGGAAGAACACCGGUGGCGAAGGCGGCGACCUGGUCCGAUACUGACGCUGAGGCGCGAAAGCGUGGGGAGCAAACAGG